UGUUUAACCAGAAACUACUGGACACCUGCUUCCUUCCAGGCUCAGAUUCCCACAAAGACUCACAUGGCUUCACACGCUCUGCUCCCUCAUGGACUCUGCUUCCCCACUUCUGGACUCCUUUUUCCCCGACCCUUUUUCUCCGUCUUGUGAGUAUCCCUCCUUAGUUUACUUUUGUUAAUCCAGUUUAGUGUUGGUUGACUUCCGUUUCUGUAUUCGUAGUGUUUGCUGAGUUUUGAAUAGCUGGGUUUAGUUUUGUUUCCCCAGUUCAGCUCUCCAUUUAUGUACUAGUUUCAUUAUCUUUUUAAAUGAAACUCUUUCCAUUAUUCACCUGUCUGCAAGUCUCUCUGUGUCUGUGCCUGCGUUGUCCAACUCAGGGCCCAAACCGUCCCUUAAAUGACUCUGGGUCCGUUUCACGAAGCAGGUUCAACAAACUCUGUGUAAGCCUGAACUCUGAGUUGAUCUACUCUGAGAUAGAAAACUCUGAGUUUUCGGUUUAACAACGGCUGAUUUGAGUUGGUUUAAUCAACUCGGAGUAGUUUCACCCAGAGUGCACCGCAACUAUAAAAAGACAGCAUCAAUGGAACCCCGAUUCGACGAGUCACCAUGGCAACGGGGAAGCGGAGAGCUACGUUUUUUUUUACACCACAUGAAUUGGACAUUUUAAUGCGUUCAUAUGGCGACUUCGAACACGUUUUUAGAAAGAAGUGCAGCACCUGCAGCUGCAAAAGAGAGAGAGAGAGACAGCGUGGGAGAACAUUGCUGCCCGGGUCAAUGCGUAAGUUUAAAUCACAAUAAUAUUACAGGAAAACUGUUUAAUUGUAGCUUAUUCUGUUAUUUCAUUUAGGUGCAAUCCUGCGGGGGAGAAGCGCAUGUGGCAGGAGCUGAAGAUGAAAUAUAAGAACAUUGUUCAAACAGCCAACAGAAAGAAAGCAGAUGCCUGUAAAAAGGGAGGAGGCCCAGCACCGCCACCUGUAACGGAGGCAGAGGAGCUGCUCCUAAGCCAGAAUUUGGGAAGGCCAGUGGCUGAGGGAAUCCCUGGAGGGAGACUCAGCUGCUGCAUUAUUGGAGACGUUCAAGAAUGAAUCCCUUUCGAGUGCGAAGCCUGCUCCACCUCCGUCAUGGAUCCCCCAGCUCCCCUGCCUCCUCUCCAGCACCAGCUUCAGCACCAGUACCAGCUCGGACACCGACCCUGUCAACAUCAACCUUCAGCACGUAACAGCAACGUCUUAUCACUGGCAAGAGGAAAAGGGGCCACAGAAAAUUGGACCUUCCAAGCGUACUUGUGGAGAUGCAGGCUGAGAAGGAGUGGAGUCAUGCCCAGCAUGAUGAGAACAUCUGGUUGCUCCUCAGCGAGGCAAGAGAGAAUGAAGCAGCCUUGCAGCGGAGGAGAUGGCCCAGAAUGCUGCCUUCAACCAGUCAUUCCUGGGUGUGCUGGGGCAGCUGGUGCAGGUAGUGCUGGGUGUGCUGGGGCAGCUGGUGCAGGUAGUGCUGGGUCUGCUGGGGCAGCUGGGGCAGGCAGUGGGCAGCCAGUGAGUCCACCACCCAGAGACUUGAGAUUUAGUUGUAUAUAGUUUUACUUUUAGCCCUCCACUGUAGGACACGCCCGCCACAGUUUGUACUUUGCACAUUGUAAAUAGUUUUGAUUUUGCUGCUGACUAAUAAAC
Molecule: long non-coding RNA, 1664 nt
Organism: Amphiprion ocellaris (clown anemonefish)
Lineage: Eukaryota; Metazoa; Chordata; Actinopteri; Pomacentridae
Source: Ensembl